AGUUUUUUGGUUUUUUAUAAAAAAUGUUUUCUGCUCAGUGAUUUUAAACAGCCGCGGUAUUUUGACCGUGCAAAGGUAGCAUAAUCAUUUGCCUUAUAAUUGAGGGCUAGUAUGAAUGGGAGUACAAAAGGUUUUCUUUAUUUUUAGAAUAGAUGUAAUUUGCUUUUUUAGUGAAGAAGCUAAAGUUUAAUUAAAGGACAAGAAGACCCUUUUGAGUUUUAUUUUUUUCAUUUGUUUUUUAAUUUGAUAAAAUUUGGUUGGGGCGACCGAGGAAGAAUUUAUCUUCCUUGAUUUAUUUGGAUCCAUACUUUUUGAUUAAUAGAUUAAAUUACCAAAGGGAUAACAGCGUUAUUUUUUUUGAGAGUUCUUAUUGAAAAUGAAGAUUGCGACCUCGAUGUUGACUUAUGAUUUCCUUUUGAUGUAGCCGUUUUAAGGGUAGGUCUGUUCGACCUUUAAAAUCUU
RNAcentral lists this ribosomal RNA (462 nucleotides) under Tetrastemma pimaculatum. Its description in RNAcentral is "partial large subunit ribosomal RNA". It matches the Rfam family "Bacterial large subunit ribosomal RNA", at positions 1829 to 2597 of the family's 2925-position model. The record is from RNAcentral. Lineage: Eukaryota; Metazoa; Nemertea; Enopla; Monostilifera; Tetrastemmatidae.